This 253-nucleotide ribosomal RNA is filed under the name uncultured bacterium. RNAcentral describes it as "partial 16S ribosomal RNA". It matches the Rfam family "Bacterial small subunit ribosomal RNA", at positions 524 to 776 of the family's 1533-position model. The record is from RNAcentral.
GACGUAGGGUGCGAGCGUUGUCCGGAUUUAUUGGGCGUAAAGAGCUCGUAGGCGGUCUGUCGCGUCGAUCGUGAAAACUUGGGGCUUAACCUCGAGCCUGCAUUCGAUACUGGGCGGCUAGAGUCUGGUAGGGGGAUCUGGAAUUCCUGGUGUAGCGGUGGAAUGCGCAGAUAUCAGGAGGAACACCGGUGGCGAAGGCGGGAUCCUGGGCCAGUACUGACGCUGAGGAGCGAAAGCGUGGGGAGCAAACAGG